GACGAACGCUGGCGGCGUGCUUAACACAUGCAAGUCGAACGGAAAGGCACUGCUUUUGUGGGGUGCUCGAGUGGCGAACGGGAGAGAAACACGUGAGUAACCUGCCCUUGACUUUGGGAUAACUUCAGGAAACUGGGGCUAAUACCGGAUAGGAGCUCCCGCUGAAUGGGGGGGGUUGGAAAGUUUCGGCGGUCGGGGAUGGACUCGCGGCUCAGCAGCUUGUUGGUGGGGUAGUGGCUUACCCAGGCAUUGACGGGUAGCCGGCCUGAGAGGGUGACCGGCCACCUUGGGACUGCGAUACGGCCCAGACUCCUACGGUAGGCAGAAGUGGGGAAUAUUGCACAAUGGGCGGAAGCCUGAUGCAGCAACGCCGCGUGCGGGAUGACGGCCUUCGGGUUGUAAACCGCUUUCGCCUGUGACGAAGCGUGAUUGACGGUAAUGGGUAAAGAAGCACCGGCUAACUACGUG
RNAcentral lists this ribosomal RNA (468 nucleotides) under uncultured bacterium. Its description in RNAcentral is "partial 16S ribosomal RNA". It matches the Rfam family "Bacterial small subunit ribosomal RNA", at positions 28 to 507 of the family's 1533-position model. The record is from RNAcentral.